UAGGGAAUAUUGGUUAAUGUGCGAAGGCGCGAACCAGCAACGCCGCGUGUGCGAAGAAGGCCUUCGGGUUGUAAAGCACUUUUUGAGAGGAUGAGGAAGGACGGUACUCUCAGAAUAAGUCUCGGCUAACUACGUGCCAGCAGCCGCGGUAACACGUAGGAGGCAAACGUUAUCCGGAUUUACUGGGCGUAAAGCGCGUGUAGGUGGUUUGGUAAGUAGAGCGUGAAAGCUCCUGGCUCAACUGGGAGAGGUCGUUCUAAACUGCCGGACUAGAGGAUGGUAGAGGGAGGUGGAAUUCCGGGUGUAGCGGUGGAAUGCGCAGAUAUCCGGAGGAACACCAGUGGCGAAAGCGGCCUCCUGGACCACUCCUGACACUCAGACGCGAAAGCUAGGGUAGCAAACG
RNAcentral lists this ribosomal RNA (403 nucleotides) under uncultured prokaryote. RNAcentral describes it as "bacterial SSU rRNA". It matches the Rfam family "Bacterial small subunit ribosomal RNA", at positions 355 to 774 of the family's 1533-position model. The record is from RNAcentral.